AUGCUAUCCACUUAACAAAAACCGCCUUGAGUCCCCCUCUUACGUUUCUUUUCCUCUUCUCUCUCACCUUGCAUAAACAAAAGCAAUCUAAUUCUCUUUCUUCACAGAUGUGAACUAUCAAUUGGAAUACUUCUUUUUCUUCAGACUUCAAUCAUUAAAUUGGGCUCUGCUAUGGCAAUAAGUAUCAAAACCAGGGACUCAGGUCGGUUUGAUGAGUCUUUUUUGUGAAAGAUUUGUUGGGUUGUUUGUGAUUGUUUGGUUCACUGUUGAAUCCCAAGAAACACAGAGAGAGAUGGGUUGAGACAGGUUUGCUUCCCAGAAGGAGAGUACAAUACUUUUUUUUUUGUGGACUAGCCUUUUUGCACGCACAUACGCACAUGGAAGAGCCGCGCUCAAGCGUGCGAAUUAUGUUUUUGACCGUGGUAUGGUUCGCAUGUGUAUCACAUCAUUCAUUUCUGUAUGGGGUAAGAGUCACGUAAUAUGCAAUGUUUUAUAUAUAUACUUUCUUUUAUACGUAAUAUGCAUGUUCUUAUAUAUAUCACAUCAUUCAUUUCUGAAUCGUUCAAAAAGUAUUCACAUCAUUCAUCAUGACAAUGUUUUAUAAUUUCUGUAUAUGGUAAGAGUUACGUAAUAUGCAACACAGAAGUUAUAUUACACUCAUGAGUAACAUUUCAAACAUGCGUAACAGGAGAGGACAAUACGCACGUGCAUCGCACGUGCAGGAAGGCUAGUUUUAGUUAAGAUGGUAUAGAAGUAAUUUUUUUUGUUGCUCUUUUUUUUCAAUUUUCUCUGUCCACCACACUCGUAUUCAUCUUUUCCACAGUACUCACAAUCAUGAUUAAGCUUUAAACUUGACCUUUCUUGAUCGAAAAUAGAAUUAAAUAAAAAAAAGUAAAUGAAUAUACUUUUUUUUUAUGAUUGAACUAAAAUACCUUCAAGUUUAAUGGUAUAUAACGACAAAUUUGAUGACAAUGAUUAAAGUGGAUUGUAAUGUUUAAUUUGAGUGACUAAAAUAAUAUAUUUGAAAAAUUAGUGACCAUAAUGUGGAAUAAAUUAUAACCGUAACUCGACCAUUUAUAUAAUUCUUUCUUUGUUAGUAAAUUAAAAACAAUCAUCCUUGUUGGUCAGCUAAUGUAUUUAAUUAUUCUAGUAUUCUCAUCCUUUUCUUUAAUUUGUGCCGUCCUAUGUAGUAUUGUAAUGUGCCUGCGGCCUACAUGCCAGCUAAGUUAGACCAGAAGAUCAUAAUGAAAGAUCAUGGUUUUUCUUCUUUUGGUAAAAAAAAAAAAAAAAAAAGGAAUUGCAAAAGCAUAUAUCUAGGUUUAUUCUAAUGAACCAUCAGCAAUAGGCCAAUAUCAUGCAAGAACGUUGGCUACAGAGAUCAGUAGUCUGGGUCCCUGGGAUGAGAGUACUGGUGGCUGCUGUCAAUUUAUCGAAUCAAUAAUUUUUGUGGCUACAAAUAUAUCGAUAAGAAUAGACUUUUCCCAUGGCUGCUCAUCGAUAAAACGGAAAGUGAUCAACGACGGCUCGUGGUUGAUAUCAUCUCAAUUCUCAGAGGUAUCCAAAAAUUUAUAAAUAGAUGACAUGUUUCUAUCUGGUGCAUACUAACGUUAACGAAAAAUAACAAAAGCUUUUUCUUUUUCUUUAGGGCCCGUUUGGAUAUAGGGAUUUGAGAGAGUGGAUUUGGAUUUGGAACCCACAAAUUCAAAUCAUCUUGUUUGGCUGUCUAUUUUUGUGAGUAUUUGGAUUUCUCCAAAAUCAGUCCUGAGAUAUUAGAUAGCAAAGUUUGAUGAUUUCAAAUAACUAGGGUCCCCUAAUUAUUUGAAAUCACCACGUCUCCGACUCUCGUGAAAAAACACAGAUCUCGUCGUCUCUCUCUCUCUCUCUCUCUCUCUCUCUCUCUCUCUCUCUCUCUCUCUCUCUCUCUCUCUCUCUCUCUCUCUCUCUCUCUCUCUCUCAAUUAACACACGAGCUGCCUCUGGUCUAACUCGAGCCAAGGUCUUACCCUUCGACCGAGCCCCCUCAGAAGCCAAACUUUGCGGCGGAGCCAUCCCUCUCUGCAUGCUCGAUGAGAUCGAUACCCAGGCCAACCUCGCCGUCGACUUCGGAAAAACCCUCUUCCCCGACGACUUCAUCGCCAUGCUCCACUGCGAGGUCCUAGACUCCUUCCUCUGACCACACCCAGUCCUGCGGCGCCUCCCUCAUCUCCGGCCUAGUCAACCGCCUCGAGAUCUCUGCCUUUGUCUCCUCCAACGCGCCCUACAUCGUCCACCACACCAAGGACAACGCGCGCCACACACUGGCCUCCUGGCCAUGAAUCAAACUCACAGACAAAAUGGCCUACUACGAAGACCUCGCCGGAAUGUUCUUGGACGAGUUGGAUGCUGUGUUCUAGUAUUGCAAUUUCAAAUCUUCACAUAUCUUUUUCAUUCCAAACAAUAAGAUUUUAAAUACUCAUAUUUCAA
Long non-coding RNA from Rosa chinensis, 2462 nucleotides. RefSeq lists it as uncharacterized. The transcript is spliced from 3 exons. The record is from RefSeq and is a predicted model, not a curated record. NCBI's taxonomy places the organism in Eukaryota, Viridiplantae, Streptophyta, Magnoliopsida, Rosales, Rosaceae.